RNAcentral lists this long non-coding RNA (618 nucleotides) under Nicotiana tabacum (common tobacco). Its description in RNAcentral is "long non-coding RNA (NTAB_LNC005122)". The record is from RNAcentral. Lineage: Eukaryota; Viridiplantae; Streptophyta; Magnoliopsida; Solanales; Solanaceae.
UCCAAUUUAAGACCAGAUGCAAGUUUUAAAUGUACAUUGUAUAUCAAUAUUUUAAUGUGAUGAACUGAAUGUCUAAACAAAUACAAUAUUCUAGUGAUAAUUAUUCAUCCUAUAAUACUACAUACACCUUUAACAAUCCAUGCAUUACAAUUCUAGUAUAACUUGUGCACGAACGAAAUGACUCCUUGGUACUCCGACCAUACACCGGUUGCUCAAGCCUCUUCUUAAAUCGCUAAAAGCACCUCACUUUCAAGUCACCAACACUAAUAGCAGUGAGGCUAAGGUCAUACUCAGCAAUUGGAAACUGGAUAAUGAGAUGACGGCCUUAGAUUCUACAAUUAGCGGCUGCAAAUAAAAAAAGGAGGAGGAAAAAAGACUGCUGUUAUAAAACGAGGCAUGCUAUAUUGUAUCAUAACAUAAAGCAGACUAACAUCUUGACCAAAAAUGGAUGACAACCACUGAUACCGGCAGGUUAGACGCUUUAUAUCUUCAACUGACGUCUUAUAUUUAUUUCAAUAAUCUCACCCAAUUACAAAAGGUAAAUGUUGAACAUUUCCCAAAUUCCUAAAGGAAUCAUUUCCUUUCUAUUGUUCUUCUCCUUGCAUGCCAACAGGGAAA